GAUGAAGAACGCAGCGAAAUGCGAUAAGUAAUGUGAAUUGCAGAAUUCAGUGAAUCAUCGAAUCUUUGAACGCACCUUGCGCCCUUUGGACAUUCCGAAGGGCAUGCCUGUUUGAGUAUCAUGAACACCCCAACUCUCACGGCUUGUCCGUGAUGAGCUUGGACUUUGGGGGUCUUGCCGGCCUGUGGUCGGCUCCUCUCAAAUGGAUCAGCUUGCCAGUGUUUGGUGGCAUCACAGGUGUGAUAACUAUCUGCGCUUGUGGUUUUCCAUCAGAUAACCUUCAGUGAUAUGGAGGUUCGCUGGAGCUCACAAAUGUCUCUCCUUAGUGAGGACAGCUCUUUGAACGUUUGAUCUCAAAUCAGGUAGGACUACCCGCUGAACUUAAGCAUAUCAAUAAGCGGAGGA
RNAcentral lists this unclassified non-coding RNA (405 nucleotides) under soil metagenome. RNAcentral's name for it is "partial contains 5.8S ribosomal RNA, internal transcribed spacer 2, and large subunit ribosomal RNA". The stretch from base 1 to 121 matches the Rfam family "5.8S ribosomal RNA", at positions 35 to 154 of the family's 154-position model. The record is from RNAcentral.